GACUCUCGACAAGACUCUUGCAUCGAUGAAGAACAUAGGGAAAUGUGAUACUUGGUGUGAAUUGCAUAAUCCCGUGAACCAUCGAGCCUUUGAACACAAGUUGUGCCUAAAUUCAUGCGAUACUGGGUGUUG
Molecule: ribosomal RNA, 132 nt
Filed under: Lupinus angustifolius (narrow-leaved blue lupine)
Lineage: Eukaryota; Viridiplantae; Streptophyta; Magnoliopsida; Fabales; Fabaceae
Description: rRNA 5_8S_rRNA
Rfam family: 5.8S ribosomal RNA
About the family: 5.8S ribosomal RNA (5.8S rRNA) is a component of the large subunit of the eukaryotic ribosome.
Source: Rfam by way of RNAcentral